GGGGAUUUAGCUCAGUGGUAGAGCACUUGCCUUGCAAGCACAAGGCCCUGGGUUCAGUCCUCA
This 63-nucleotide transfer RNA is filed under the name Mesocricetus auratus (golden hamster). It matches the Rfam family "tRNA", at positions 1 to 62 of the family's 71-position model. From Rfam's summary of the family: Transfer RNA (tRNA) molecules are approximately 80 nucleotides in length. Their secondary structure includes four short double-helical elements and three loops (D, anti-codon, and T loops). Further hydrogen bonds mediate the characteristic L-shaped molecular structure. tRNAs have two regions of fundamental functional importance: the anti-codon, which is responsible for specific mRNA codon recognition, and the 3' end, to which the tRNAs corresponding amino acid is attached (by aminoacyl-tRNA synthetases). tRNAs cope with the degeneracy of the genetic code in two manners: having more than one tRNA (with a specific anti-codon) for a particular amino acid; and 'wobble' base-pairing, i.e. permitting non-standard base-pairing at the 3rd anti-codon position. Lineage: Eukaryota; Metazoa; Chordata; Mammalia; Rodentia; Cricetidae. The record is from Rfam by way of RNAcentral.